Molecule: small nucleolar RNA, 83 nt
Filed under: Neotoma lepida (desert woodrat)
Lineage: Eukaryota; Metazoa; Chordata; Mammalia; Rodentia; Cricetidae
Source: RNAcentral
CAUGUCAGCAAUGAGUAAUAAUCACCAUCUUUNGUUUGAAUCUUAUGACUAUGAGACCAACCCAUGCACCACUCUAAGACCUG